This 371-nucleotide ribosomal RNA is filed under the name uncultured bacterium. RNAcentral describes it as "bacterial SSU rRNA". It matches the Rfam family "Bacterial small subunit ribosomal RNA", at positions 527 to 896 of the family's 1533-position model. The record is from RNAcentral.
GGGGGGGGCAAGCGUUGUUCGGAAUUACUGGGCGUAAAGGGCUCGUAGGCGGCCAACUAAGUCAGACGUGAAAUCCCUCGGCUUAACCGGGGAACUGCGUCUGAUACUGGAUGGCUUGAGUUUGGGAGAGGGAUGCGGAAUUCCAGGUGUAGCGGUGAAAUGCGUAGAUAUCUGGAGGAACACCGGUGGCGAAGGCGGCAUCCUGGACCAACACUGACGCUGAGGAGCGAAAGCCAGGGGAGCAAACGGGAUUAGAUACCCCGGUAGUCCUGGCCCUAAACGAUGAAUGCUUGGUGUGGCGGGUAUCGAUCCCUGCCGUGCCGAAGCUAACGCAUUAAGCAUUCCGCCUGGGGAGUACGGUCGCAAGGCUG